RNAcentral lists this transfer RNA (73 nucleotides) under Toxocara canis (dog roundworm). It matches the Rfam family "tRNA". Rfam says of the family: Transfer RNA (tRNA) molecules are approximately 80 nucleotides in length. Their secondary structure includes four short double-helical elements and three loops (D, anti-codon, and T loops). The record is from Rfam by way of RNAcentral. Lineage: Eukaryota; Metazoa; Nematoda; Chromadorea; Rhabditida; Toxocaridae.
GGUUUCGUGGUGUGGUGGUUAUCACUCCUGAUUUAAACGCAGGAGGUCGCCGGUCCGAUCGCGGCCGAGAUCA